GACGAACGCUGGCGGCGUGCUUAACACAUGCAAGUCGAACGCUGAAGACCUGGCUUUUGUUGGGUUGGAUGAGUGGCGAACGGGUGAGUAACACGUGAGUAACCUGCCCUCUUCUUUGGGAUAACGCCCGGAAACGGGUGCUAAUACUGGAUAUUCACUGAUCUUCGCAUGGGGGUGGGUGGAAAGGUUUGUUCUGGUGGGGGAUGGGCUCGCGGCCUAUCAGCUUGUUGGUGGGGUGAUGGCCUACCAAGGCUUUGACGGGUAGCCGGCCUGAGAGGGUGACCGGUCACAUUGGGACUGAGAUACGGCCCAGACUCCUACGGGAGGCAGCAGUGGGGAAGAUAGCACAAUGGGCGAAAGCCUGAAGCAGCGACGCCGCGUGAGGGAUGGAGGCCUUCGGGUUGGAAACCUCUUUCGCUCAUGGUCAAGCCGCAACUGUGGGUUGUGGUGAGGGUAGUGGGUAAAGAAGCGCCGGCUAACUACGUG
Molecule: ribosomal RNA, 486 nt
Filed under: uncultured bacterium
Lineage: Bacteria
Description: partial 16S ribosomal RNA
Rfam family: Bacterial small subunit ribosomal RNA
Source: RNAcentral